GUCGAUCAAUGCUUUGGAUCGACAGCCAGACGAUGUUCCAUGACUUCUGCGUCAAUCCCCGGCAUGUCUACUGGAACUCAAGCGAAAACAUCCGCAUUCUUUCGUAGAAAAUCAGUGAGCUGCGUCCGCACCUCUUCCCCUAGGUUGGAGCUGAUCUUCACCACAUGCUCCGUAUUCCCAUCAUUCAAAGGGAUCGAAACCAGAUCUUUGAUUGGGCUGCCCCUUUCCUCAGCA
RNAcentral lists this long non-coding RNA (234 nucleotides) under Elaeis guineensis (African oil palm). Its description in RNAcentral is "long non-coding RNA (EGUI_LNC069028)". Lineage: Eukaryota; Viridiplantae; Streptophyta; Magnoliopsida; Arecales; Arecaceae. The record is from RNAcentral.